RNA transcript from Telopea speciosissima, 2504 nucleotides. It is a transcript of the gene named protein PSK SIMULATOR 1, with no coding region annotated. Lineage: Eukaryota; Viridiplantae; Streptophyta; Magnoliopsida; Proteales; Proteaceae. The transcript has 2 exons. The record is from RefSeq and is a predicted model, not a curated record.
AAGGUGAAAAACCGGAAGAAGAGUUUCGGAUACUUCUUCCAGUCAUUCCGAGAUUUCCCGUGUCUUGAACAGAACACUUGCACUUGCAGAUGCUCUGAUCAGCAAGAGGCGUGCAAAAAAACAAAAAGGUUGGUGCUUCCGAUCUCUGAUCAUCUUGCGGCUAAAGUAGCGGCAAUGGUUGCAGAGGCUUGGAUUUUAAAGAUGGGGAACCAGGUAAGUCACAAUCUCAAGCACGCUCUUUCCCUAGACCCUUCCAAGAGAAAGAACAACAAAAAGCUAGAACAGAAAGAGACUAUUGGCAUUCUCUCUUUUGAAGUCGCAAAUGUAAUGUCGAAAACUCUUCACCUCCACAAAUCCCUAACCGAUCAGGAGGUUUCUAGGCUUAAAAACGAGAUCCUCAAGUCUGAAGGAGUAAGAAACCUUGUCUCCUCUGACGAGUCUUACCUUCUCGAACUCGCCGUUGCUGAAAAGCUCGACGACCUGAACCGUGUGGCUGCUGUUGUUUCUAGAUUAGGGAAGAGGUGUACUGAGCCUGCAUUGCAGGGUUUCGAGCAUGUUUAUGCUGACAUUAUGUCUGGGGUUAUUGAUGUGAGGGAACUUGGCUUCUUGGUCAAGGACAUGGAAGGAAUGAUUAGGAAGAUGGAGAGGUAUGUAACUUCGACUUCGAAUCUUUAUAAUGAAUUGGAGGUCUUGAACGAGUUGGAGCAGGCAACGAAGAAGUUUCAGAAUACCCAACACGAGGAAAGUCGCCGGGCCUUUGAGCAGAAAGUAAUCUGGCAGAGGCAGGAUGUGAGGCAUCUAAAGGACGUUUCACUGUGGAACCAGACGUACGAUAAGAUUGUAGGGUUGUUGGCGAGGACGGCUUGUACAAUUUAUGCGAGGGUCUGUAUUCUGUUUCGCGAAUCUCUUUCAAGGCCUGGCCUCUCUGUUUUAGGGACAGAAUCCUCUACUGGAAGAGAAGGUUCAUCUCCUGCUCAGGAGCAGAGUGGACAACUUUCGGGCCAGAUUGAUGCGCGACGUCAUUUUAAGCUGGCUUCUGAACCGUUACAACCGGCUUCAAGUAAGAGCAAUGCUCAUAAAUCAGGACCUAUUGAGAAAGUUGCAGGGGAGACAAGGCCGACAACUGCUGGGCCGAGGCUGGUAUCACAGAGAAGUGAAGUUAUUUCUUUUCGUGAUGAAGAUUUCAUUUUUCCGUGCGGGGCUAAUCCUGGGAAGCUCUUCAUGGAGUGCCUUAGUUUGAGCAGUUCUGCUUCAAUGUUGGAUGAUGACUAUGAGCAUGAGGACCACAAUAGUCAUUCUUCAGGUUAUCACACUGCUGGAAAUGGGUUGAGGAGGGAGCAUCCAUAUCGAUUUGGUUUCUCUGGUCAAGUUGAAACUGGUGCUGCUUUAAGCAGAGAUCAGAAACAGUCCAAGUGUAGUUUGCCUAGCAAAUCAAUAUUUGGCUUCAAGAGUAGGUCAAUGAUAUAUGCCACUCCUUCCACGGUUGGAGGCUCUGCUCUUGCAUUGCAUUAUGCAAAUGUCAUAAUUGUCAUUGAGAAGCUGCUUCGCUACCCCCAUUUAGUUGGUGAGGACGCCAGGGACGAUCUGUAUCAGAUGCUGCCGACAAGUUUAAGAAUGUCAUUGAGAAUGAGCCUCAAGUCUUAUGUUAAGAAUUUGGCAAUAUAUGAUGCUCCCCUUGCUCAUGAUUGGAAAGAAACACUUGAUAAGAUACUAAAAUGGCUUGCACCUCUGGCACAUAACAUGAUCAGAUGGCAAACUGAGCGUAAUUUUGAGCAACAACAAAUUGUUACGAGGACAAAUGUUCUUCUGCUCCAGACAUUAUAUUUUUCUGAUAGGGAGAAGACAGAGGCAGCUAUCUGUGAGCUUCUUGUUGGUCUGAACUACAUAUGCCGUUAUGAGCACCAGCAGACUGCCUUACUGGAUUGCGCAAGCAGUUUUGAUUUUGAUGAUUGUGUGGAAUGGCAUUUAAAACACUGAUCUUUGUACAUUCUGUGACCGAGUGGGCAAUGGUGGAGACUAUUCUGUGACUUUUGAUGCUUGUUUCUGGACAUUCCUUGACUUUUACACAAUGUGGAUACAGAGUUUGGCACUUGGAAGUGUUACAUGAUGUACAAUACAGUUACUGAUUGUAUUUUGCUUGUGAGAUUUCUUACUCCAGCAUAAAGGUUGACAUGAGACUUAAAGAGAGCCCUUGAAAAAAGAUGCAAUUUUGAAUAUGCAGGGACAUAAGAUACCUGUAUAUUUAUAUAUUUUUUUUAUCUGCGUCAUAUAAUGUUGAAAGCUGAUGAUGAGAUUGCUUUGUGGUUCUCUAAUAGCUAUAUAAAGCCAUUUGAUGUUGGAUGCAUCAGUUCCAAGUUGCAACACAUAGCAGCAACUUGCAUUUUCACUGUUGUGUCUUAGCUUGCUGCUGGUGCAAUGGCAGUAGUGCCUUUCAAUCACCAUUCAAAAUAAGGCAGCAUGGAAGUAACAUCAAAGACUAUACAUUACUUUCUAGCUUUAUAGGU